AUUGAACGCUGGCGGCAGGCCUAACACAUGCAAGUCGAGCGGAUGAAGGGAGCUUGCUCCUGGAUUCAGCGGCGGACGGGUGAGUAAUGCCUAGGAAUCUGCCUGGUAGUGGGGGAUAACGUCCGGAAACGGGCGCUAAUACCGCAUACGUCCUGAGGGAGAAAGUGGGGGAUCUUCGGACCUCACGCUAUCAGAUGAGCCUAGGUCGGAUUAGCUAGUUGGUGGGGUAAAGGCCUACCAAGGCGACGAUCCGUAACUGGUCUGAGAGGAUGAUCAGUCACACUGGGACUGAGACACGGUCCGGAAUCCUACGGGAGGCAGCAGUGGGGAAUAUUGGACAAUGGGCGAAAGCCUGAUCCAGCCAUGCCGCGUGUGUGAAGAAGGUCGUCGGAUUGUAAAGCACUUUAAGUUGGGAGGAAGGGCAGUAAGUUAAUACCGUGCUGUUGUGACGUGACCAACAGAAUAAGCACCGGCUAAAUUCG
Molecule: ribosomal RNA, 482 nt
Filed under: uncultured bacterium
Lineage: Bacteria
Description: partial 16S ribosomal RNA
Rfam family: Bacterial small subunit ribosomal RNA
Source: RNAcentral